RNAcentral lists this non-coding RNA (98 nucleotides) under Tenacibaculum holothuriorum. RNAcentral describes it as "TPP sequence". It matches the Rfam family "TPP riboswitch aptamer (THI element)". From Rfam's summary of the family: Vitamin B(1) in its active form thiamin pyrophosphate (TPP) is an essential coenzyme that is synthesised by coupling of pyrimidine and thiazole moieties in bacteria. The previously detected thiamin-regulatory element, thi box was extended, resulting in a new, highly conserved RNA secondary structure, the THI element, which is widely distributed in eubacteria and also occurs in some archaea. The record is from Rfam by way of RNAcentral. Lineage: Bacteria; Pseudomonadati; Bacteroidota; Flavobacteriia; Flavobacteriales; Flavobacteriaceae.
CGUAAACUUUAGGAGUAGCUAAUUAUAAAUUAGUUUGAGAAAUAUCCUUAGAACCUGAUUUGGUUAACACCAACGGAGGGAAAAGUUUCAGUAACUUA